RNAcentral lists this ribosomal RNA (497 nucleotides) under uncultured bacterium. RNAcentral's name for it is "partial 16S ribosomal RNA". It matches the Rfam family "Bacterial small subunit ribosomal RNA", at positions 28 to 507 of the family's 1533-position model. The record is from RNAcentral.
GAUGAACGCUGGCGGCGUGCCUAAUACAUGCAAGUCGAGCGAACAGAUGAGGAGCUUGCUCCUCUGACGUUAGCGGCGGACGGGUGAGUAACACGUGGAUAACCUACCUAUAAGACUGGGAUAACUUCGGGAAACCGGAGCUAAUACCGGAUAAUAUAUUGAACCGCAUGGUUCAAUAGUGAAAGACGGUUUUGCUGUCACUUAUAGAUGGAUCCGCGCCGCAUUAGCUAGUUGGUAAGGUAACGGCUUACCAAGGCAACGAUGCGUAGCCGACCUGAGAGGGUGAUAGGCCACACUGGAACUGAGACACGGUCCAGACUCCUACGGGAGGGAGCAGUAGGGAAUGUGCCGCAAUGGGCGAAAGCCUGACGGAGCAACGCCGCGUGAGUGAUGAAGGUCUUCGGAUCGUAAAACUCUGUUAUUAGGGAAGAACAAAUGUGUAAGUAACUAUGCACGUAUUGACGGUACCUAAUCAGAAAGCCACGGCUAACUACGUG